This 1442-nucleotide ribosomal RNA is filed under the name Ralstonia mannitolilytica. RNAcentral's name for it is "bacterial SSU rRNA". It matches the Rfam family "Bacterial small subunit ribosomal RNA". Lineage: Bacteria; Pseudomonadati; Pseudomonadota; Betaproteobacteria; Burkholderiales; Burkholderiaceae. The record is from RNAcentral.
CAUGCAGUCGNNCGGCAGCGGGGGAAAGUUUGUUUUCCUGCCNGGCGAGUGGCGAAACGGGUGAGNUAAUACAUUGGAACGUGCCCUGUAGUGGGGGAUAACUAUUGGGAAGAUUGGCUAAUCCCGCAUACGCCCUGNAGGGUGAAAAGUGGGGGACCGCAAGGCCUNCAUGCUNNAUAGGAGCGGCCGAUGUUUGAUUAGCUAGUUGGUGGGGUAAAGGCCUACCAAGGGGACGAUCCGUAGCUGGUCUGGAGAGGACGUUCAGCCACCCUGGGACUGAGACCCGGCCCAGAUUCUUACGGGAGGCAGCAGUGGGGAAUUUUGGACAAUGGGCGAAAGCCUGAUCCAGCAAUGCCGCGUGUGUGAAGAAGGCCUUCGGGUUGUAAAGCACUUUUGUCCGGAAAGAAAUGGCUCUGGUUAAUACCCGGAGUUGAUGACGGUACCGGAAGAAUAAGGACCGGCUAACUACGUGCCAGCAGCCGCGGUAAUACGUAGGGUCCAAGCGUUAAUCGGAAUUACUGGGCGUAAAGCGUGCGCAGGCGGUUGUGCAAGACCGAUGUGAAAUCCCCGGGCUUAACCUGGGAAUUGCAUUGGUGACUGCACGGCUAGAGUGUGUCAGAGGGAGGUAGAAUUCCACGUGUAGCAGUGAAAUGCGUAGAGAUGUGGAGGAAUACCGAUGGCGAAGGCAGCCUCCUGGGAUAACACUGACGCUCAUGCACGAAAGCGUGGGGAGCAAACAGGAUUAGAUACCCUGGUAGUCCACGCCCUAAACGAUGUCAACUAGUUGUUGGGGAUUCAUUUCCUUAGUAACGUAGCUAACGCGUGAAGUUGACCGCCUGGGGAGUACGGUCGCAAGAUUAAAACUCAAAGGAAUUGACGGGGACCCGCACAAGCGGUGGAUGAUGUGGAUUAAUUCGAUGCAACGCGAAAAACCUUACCUACCCUUGACAUGCCACUAACGAAGCAGAGAUGCAUUAGGUGCUCGAAAGAGAAAGUGGACACAGGUGCUGCAUGGCUGUCGUCAGCUCGUGUCGUGAGAUGUUGGGUUAAGUCCCGCAACGAGCGCAACCCUUGUCUCUAGUUGCUACGAAAGGGCCCUCUAGAGAGACUGCCGGUGACAAACCGGAAGGAAGGUGGGGAUGACGUCAAGUCCUCAUGGCCCUUAUGGGUAGGGCUUCCACACGUCAUACAAUGGUGCAUACAGAGGGUUGCCAAGCCGCGAGGUGGAGCUAAUCCCAGAAAAUGCAUCGUAGUCCGGAUCGUNAGUCUGCACCUCGACUCCGUGAAGCUGGAAUCGCUAGUNAANUCGCGGAUCAGCANNUGCCGCGGUGAAUANCGUUCCCGGGUCUUGUACANCAUCCGCCCUUCACACCAUGGGAAGUGGGCUUUNNACCAGANNAAGUUUUUCACUAACGCGUCCCGGAGGGCGUAUANCNCCCCGU